GGCUCAGGAUGAACGCUAGCGGCAGGCUUAACACAUGCAAGUCGAGGGGCAGCAUGAGACGGAGAUUCGUCGAAGUCUUGAUGGCGACCGGCGCAAGGGUGCGUAACGCGUGAGCAACUUGCCCGUUUCUGGGGAAUAACCGGUGGAAACGCCGACUAAUACCCCAUAGUAUUGACUUUGGGCAUCCUUAGUCAAUUAAAGAAUUUCGGAAACGGAUAGGCUCGCGUGACAUUAGCUAGAUGGCGGGGUAACGGCCCACCAUGGCAACGAUGUCUAGGGGUUCUGAGAGGAAGGUCCCCCACACUGGAACUGAGGCACGGUCCAGACUCCUACGGGAGGCAGCAGUGAGGAAUAUUGGUCAAUGGUCUAACGACUGAACCAGCCAUGCCGCGUGAAGGUCACGGCCCUAUGGGUCUUAAACUUCUUUUGUAAGGGAGCAAUAAGCUUUACGUGUAGAGUGAUGAGAGUACCUUACGAAUAAGCAUCGGCUAACUCCGUG
This 499-nucleotide ribosomal RNA is filed under the name uncultured bacterium. Its description in RNAcentral is "bacterial SSU rRNA". It matches the Rfam family "Bacterial small subunit ribosomal RNA", at positions 21 to 507 of the family's 1533-position model. The record is from RNAcentral.